Molecule: long non-coding RNA, 458 nt
Organism: Ipomoea triloba (trilobed morning glory)
Lineage: Eukaryota; Viridiplantae; Streptophyta; Magnoliopsida; Solanales; Convolvulaceae
Exons: 2
Source: RefSeq, a predicted model, not a curated record
AACACAAAAACAAAGAAGAAACAAAGAAGAAGAAUGGGUCUUACACAAUUCAACAAAGUGACCUGUGUUGCUCUCCUCUUUUGCUUCAUCCUCAUUGCAUCAUACGAAACUCAUAUGGUUGAAGCACGCCAUGGCGGUGGUGGCGGUGGUGGCGGCGGAUGUGUUUCACACCACUCUUGGAAUGGGAAUGGAGGUUGCUCGGGGCACUGUGGUGGGUGGUGCAAAGGAAUGGGUGGCUACAAGUGGAACUGUCAGCAUCAGACAUGUUCAUGCUACCAUAAGUGUAGUUAAAUGGAAAUAUUUGUAUGAUGCACUAUUUUCAUGUCACAAAAAUAGUGCAUCACACAAAUCUCAAUCUAUCAUAUAUAUAAUAUGAAAUAAAUGUUGCUACAAAUGGCUCUAGUCAUUUUGUCACAACAACAGAUGUGGUCCUAAUAAACGGGGUGUAUUUUAAUUAA